This is a non-coding RNA of Pimephales promelas (fathead minnow), 572 nucleotides long. The record is from RefSeq and is a predicted model, not a curated record. NCBI's taxonomy places the organism in Eukaryota, Metazoa, Chordata, Actinopteri, Cypriniformes, Leuciscidae.
GAAAAGGAAGCUUUCGUUUAUUCUUUCCCACCCGCUUCUGUUGCCUCUUUCUCAAGGAUUUAGACCUCUUUGGGAUAUACAAACAAAUAAUCUUGUGGACUGCUCAAAAAACGAAACAAAUGGACGAUAAAUAUUAAAUUCACAAAGGAGCUCACUACAGCUACACACAAAACAAAAAGGAAACGGAAAGUUGCUAACGUUACUUGCGUUUGAACGUCUUCGGAGUGACAUCGACGAGAAGUGCUGUGUUGUCUUGUCUUUGGGUUUCAUCCUGGCUGUAAAAGAGUUGAGUGGUCGCUUUUAAAACAUCAGGAUUGCAAUGGCAAUAUCUGAAUUGCGGGCCAGCACCUGAAACAAGGCAGGCCAUAUCUAAUGAGGUUUACAUCAUUGCAUUAUGCUCAAAGACCACAUUUUCCUACAGAAUUUUGGAAUUGAUGAUGAUUGAUAUGACAAUCAAAGACUUUUAAGGAUAGAUUUUUUAAUCUUUUAUGCAAUUUUCUGUUUUAAUUAAGUUGGCAGAGUUGCCAUUUUAGAAAUGUGAAUUUGUUUUUAAUAUUUGUUUUUUUUAGUUU